AGGGCUACACACGUGCUACAAUGGCAUAUACAAAGAGAAGCGAACUCGCGAGAGCAAGCGGACCUCAUAAAGUAUGUCGUAGUCCGGAUUGGAGUCUGCAACUCGACUCCAUGAAGUCGGAAUCGCUAGUAAUCGUAGAUCAGAAUGCUACGGUGAAUACGUUCCCGGGCCUU
RNAcentral lists this ribosomal RNA (173 nucleotides) under uncultured Enterobacteriaceae bacterium. RNAcentral describes it as "partial 16S ribosomal RNA". It matches the Rfam family "Bacterial small subunit ribosomal RNA", at positions 1210 to 1382 of the family's 1533-position model. Lineage: Bacteria; Pseudomonadati; Pseudomonadota; Gammaproteobacteria; Enterobacterales; Enterobacteriaceae. The record is from RNAcentral.